UGCGUCCCCUGCCCCGCCCCCGGAGCGCGGGCUUCGGGAGACGAGGAGCUGUGGGCGGCUGUGGCCGGCGGGGUGUGGCUGGGCGCUGCGGUCCGCGCGGGGCGGGGCGGGUGGCGGGAGCCGUCACAGGAAAUAAGUGACCAUGGUGCUCGAUAGUUUGGAUAAGAUGAUUCAACUGCAGAAAAGCACUGCAGACAUCAGGAAUAUCUGUGUUUUGGCUCAUGUUGACCACGACCUCAAGAAACGCUCAUUCAGAUGAAGACAAAGAUAACACCUGGGAUGCUUGGGGCGACUGGUGUGACUGCCCCGGACUUGCGGGGGAGGAGCAUCCUAGUCUCUGCAGAGAUGUUUGGCUGGCAGCUGACAACAUGAAAUGCUGGCGAGAAUGAAGAGAAACUGGAUCACUCAUACACUGGUGAUGAUAAUGUAAAAUAAUAUAGCCACAGGCAAAAAUAAACAUGCAGCUACCAUACAAUCCGGCAGUUGUACUCGUGGCCUUUUAUCACAGAGAAUGAAGACUUGUUUUCA
Long non-coding RNA from Hippopotamus amphibius kiboko, 528 nucleotides. RefSeq lists it as uncharacterized. The record is from RefSeq and is a predicted model, not a curated record. Lineage: Eukaryota; Metazoa; Chordata; Mammalia; Artiodactyla; Hippopotamidae. The transcript has 4 exons.